Small RNA from Rhodobacteraceae bacterium KLH11, 52 nucleotides. It matches the Rfam family "ffh sRNA". The record is from Rfam. Lineage: Bacteria; Pseudomonadati; Pseudomonadota; Alphaproteobacteria; Rhodobacterales; Paracoccaceae.
UCGUUCAGGGAUCGCCCCCCACCAGCGAGUUUCGCCCGUGGGGGCAAUGCCA